This is a non-coding RNA of Parelaphostrongylus tenuis, 73 nucleotides long. The record is from the annotation of a GenBank genome assembly. NCBI's taxonomy places the organism in Eukaryota, Metazoa, Nematoda, Chromadorea, Rhabditida, Metastrongylidae.
GCGUCUGUGGUGCAGCGGUUUAGUACGCGCUCCCGGAUUGAGUGAAGUGUGGGUUUAAAUCUCACCGGACGCA